CCGACUUUAGCUCAGUUGCUAGAGCGGAGAACUGUAGUUGGAUAAUGUCUGUAGACAAUCCUUAGGUCGCUGGUUUGAAUCCGGCGGGUCGGA
Molecule: non-coding RNA, 93 nt
Organism: Vigna angularis (adzuki bean)
Lineage: Eukaryota; Viridiplantae; Streptophyta; Magnoliopsida; Fabales; Fabaceae
Source: Rfam